ACCAAAAUCAACCUCCUCUACUCCUGAGACCACAGUGUGACUGAGAGCCUAGACUACAUGGCUACUUGGAACAUGAACAUGUUGCAGACACAGGAUCUUAUGAAGUCAGCGCAGACAGCCCCGGAAAAGAAGAGUCCGAAAGACGUGCCCUUCUCCAAGCUUUAAAGGAGAAGAUCCAGGGCUGUUGAAGCUGCGGUGGAACUGAGACUUCAUCAUCCACAUAUCUUUAGUUCUUCUUGCUAAGUCUCAGUUUCUUUUUAGUCUUUUUAUUUUUAGACUGGUCAAAAGACCGAUUAGUGGAAGUGAAAUGAUAGAUGAACUUGCUUGAUUAUUUGCAGGUGCUUUGUAUAGUAAGACAGGGUAACUAAUACUCAAAAGCUUGUUUUGUGUGUUAACAUGUACAGUAGAUGUACAUAUUUUUUUCUGGUGCUGUGUGACUGCAGAAUGUAGUGCAGUUAACACAGUAAAUUUCCUUGGAUGCUCACUUUUAACUCGAGGAGGUCACAGGUUGCCCAGACAUCUUUUUUUAAAUCUGUCAAUCCGUCACCUGCACGUCAUUCUGGGGGACGAAGAGGAGGAAGCUGGACAGAUAAAUUUAUUUAUUUAUUUAUCAUUGCUGUGUUUCCUCAGUCGAGUGCAGAAAGAAGAAAAACAACACAACUGGUUUAAAAUAAAAAUAGAAAACAAUCUAAUGUAAGGUUCUGAUCCGGUUUGCUUUCAGCAGGAAGGCUGUCCUCUUUCCUGUUGCUCUUUCCCUUCUAUUAGUCCAUUUGUCCAGUCUGAAUCGGUUUGAUUGUUUGAUUCGUUUUCAGAUGAUUCGGAGUCAAAUAAUUUUCUAGUGAGAGUCGCACAAUUCCAAACGAACUAGACUGAGAUGAGUAUUUGAUUCUCACUAGAAAGUGAUUCGACUCUGAAUCAACUCGAAAUGAAUCAGUCAAACUGAUUCAGACUCUAUAAAAGGACUAUGAGAUGUGAUUAAGAUAUAUAUUCCAAUGUUUUGCUUUACAAUUCCACUGUGUGUGUGUGUGUGUGUGUGCACACGCAUAUGUGUUUUUCAGGAGAACGAGAAACUCUGACACAAGAGUACAUCCUGACCAUUGGUACUGUGUACACAUCAACAUACACACACGUCUCCAUGCUGGACAGCUCAGGAGCUUUCACACACAGUGCUAGGAAUAUCCCGGAACAGAGAAACGCACCUCCUACGUGAGCGAGUUUAGCGUCAACCGGUGAAAUUUGCUGUAGCGUGAACACUUCGCCUCUGUGAGCUUCACUCUCCGUCAGGUUCACUGUAAUUAGACAUAAAAUGUACAUAAUGUUAAUUUUUCAUACAUUUAGGAUUUAAUUUUUUUUUUUUUACCCUUCGAGGAACAGAAAUGAUCUUUUGAGGCAGCUUCAUCAUUACCUGCUCCGUUUGAUUCAAAAACAUAACGACCGGUUUCAAAAAGUCAGGAUGUCUUCAGUUCAUGUGAUUUUACUGUUGAAUUUAAACAGGAAAUGUGAAUUUUUUUUCCCCUUUAUGUUUCCUCUACUGUCUUUUUGCUGUGAUCUUGAACACAGUUGUAAUUUUUUUUAAAUAAAUAAAUGAUCAUUCUAUUCUUUCUCACUUUCCUUGUCCUAAUUGUCCUGUAUCUGUUAAAUCCGUUUCAUCUCUGGUCUUUCUGUCUGUAUGAACACUUGUAGAAAUGACUUGUAGUCCAUAUUUUUGAAUAUUUUUAUUCAUGAUUUUGAAUUUAAAUAAAGAUAUUCUUUAAUUCUG
Long non-coding RNA from Ictalurus punctatus (channel catfish), 1759 nucleotides. RefSeq lists it as uncharacterized. The transcript is spliced from 2 exons. The record is from RefSeq and is a predicted model, not a curated record. Lineage: Eukaryota; Metazoa; Chordata; Actinopteri; Siluriformes; Ictaluridae.